Helianthus annuus (common sunflower) is the source of this 677-nucleotide long non-coding RNA. RefSeq lists it as uncharacterized. NCBI's taxonomy places the organism in Eukaryota, Viridiplantae, Streptophyta, Magnoliopsida, Asterales, Asteraceae. The transcript is spliced from 2 exons. The record is from RefSeq and is a predicted model, not a curated record.
GAUUGUUAAUAGUAUUUUAUUUAUUCGCCCCUUUUAGGUAUUGACUAUAAAUAAACAGCUUUUAAUCUGCUGAUUUUUCUUAUGUGGUGUUACUUUUUUUUUUAAUAGAAUGUGGUGUUACUUGGUAUGAUGUUUUCAUGAGCAUUUAUUGAGAGGACACUUUGGUGUUUGCACACCAUCUGUUUGAUGAAAUGCUUCAUAGAAGUCUAACAACUCGUUUCAUAUGAUUCGCCUGCAGUAGGGAACCAAUGCAACAGAUGGUGAUCUUCACAACAGACGGCUAAUUCACACCCACAAAUCGUAGGCCCGCCACCCCACUCAUUGCCAGGACUAUGUUCUCUUAACCGGGCCUACGCCUGGCCGAGUGUGGCUUGGCUAUCCCCGAGAAUGAUUUUCUUUCUCUUCUUUAUUCUGCUACGGUGCUUACUACUGGUAGAUAGAAAGUCAGAAAUGUCAACCAUUUCACAUCCCCAUAUGGCACAUUCUUUUUUUUUUCUCUUUUGAAUUAGAAAGCUUACUUCCACCCUUUAUUACACCAAGUAAUUAAAUAAACUCACCUUACUCAGAUUUAAAUCUAUCUGGAAGCUGGGACCUCCCCUCCAAGUGACAUGAGCCUCUACGAAGUGGGCUACCCCAUAUUGGCACACAUAUCUGUUAACCAAGUAAUAUUUCAAUGA